UGAGGAAUAUUGGUCAAUGGGCGCAAGCCUGAACCAGCCAAGUCGCGUGAGGGAAGACGGCCCUACGGGUUGUAAACCUCUUUUGCCGGGGAGCAAGCCUGAGCACGUGUGCCCAGGCGGAGAGUACCUGGAGAAAAAGCAUCGGCUAACUCCGUGCCAGCAGCCGCGGUAAUACGGAGGAUGCGAGCGUUAUCCGGAUUUAUUGGGUUUAAAGGGUGCGCAGGCGGGCUGUUAAGCCGGCGGUAAAAAUUCAGGGCUCAACCCUGUCGAGCCGUCGGAACUGGCAGUCUUGAGUGGGCGAGA
This 303-nucleotide ribosomal RNA is filed under the name uncultured bacterium. RNAcentral describes it as "bacterial SSU rRNA". It matches the Rfam family "Bacterial small subunit ribosomal RNA", at positions 355 to 655 of the family's 1533-position model. The record is from RNAcentral.